RNAcentral lists this ribosomal RNA (271 nucleotides) under uncultured bacterium. RNAcentral's name for it is "partial 16S ribosomal RNA". It matches the Rfam family "Bacterial small subunit ribosomal RNA", at positions 524 to 794 of the family's 1533-position model. The record is from RNAcentral.
UACGGAGGGUGCGAGCGUUAAUCGGAAUUACUGGGCGUAAAGGGCGCGUAGGCGGUGAAGUCAGUCGGGUGUGAAAGCCCCGGGCUCAACCUGGGAACGGCAUCCGAUACUGCUUCGCUAGAGUAUGGUAGAGGGAAGCGGAAUUCCGGGUGUAGCGGUGAAAUGCGUAGAUAUCCGGAGGAACACCUAUGGCGAAGGCAGCUCGCUGGGACGGUACUGACGCUGAGACGCGAAAGCGUGGGGAGCAAACAGGAUUAGAUACCCUAGUAGU